RNAcentral lists this ribosomal RNA (607 nucleotides) under uncultured bacterium. RNAcentral describes it as "SSU rRNA". It matches the Rfam family "Bacterial small subunit ribosomal RNA", at positions 293 to 915 of the family's 1533-position model. The record is from RNAcentral.
UGAAGAGGACGAUCAGCCACACUGGGAUUGAGAACGGCCCAGACUCCUACGGGGGGCAGCAGUGAGGAAUUUUCCGCAAUGGUCGCAAGACUGACGGAGCAACGCCGCGUGCAGGAGGACGCUUUUCGGAGUGUAAACUGCUUUUCUGUGGGAAGAGGAUGGACGGUACCACAGGAAGAAGCCCCGGCUAACUACGUGCCAGCAGCCGCGGUAAUACGUAGGGGGCGAGCGUUGUCCGGAGUUACUGGGCGUAAAGGGCACGCAGGCGGUGCGGCGCGUUUCGCGUGACAGCGGAGGGCUUACCUCUCCGAGGAUGCGAAAGACGGCAGCACUUGAGGGCCAGAGAGGGACACGGAAUUCCGGGUGGAGUGGUGAAAUGCGUAGAGAUCCGGAGGAACACCGAAGGCGAAGGCAGUGUCCUGGCUGGUGACUGACGCUGAGGUGCGAAAGCUAGGGGAGCGAACGGGAUUAGAUACCCCGGUAGUCCUAGCCGUAAACGAUGACCACCAGGUGUGGGAGGUAUCGACCCCUUCCGUGCCGGAGUUAACACACUAAGUGGUCCGCCUGGGGAGUACGGUCGCAAGAUUAAAACUCAAAGGAAUUGACG